RNAcentral lists this ribosomal RNA (301 nucleotides) under uncultured bacterium. RNAcentral describes it as "partial 16S ribosomal RNA". It matches the Rfam family "Bacterial small subunit ribosomal RNA", at positions 509 to 807 of the family's 1533-position model. The record is from RNAcentral.
CAGUCGCCGCGGUAAUACGUAGGGUGCGAGCGUUAAUCGGAAUUACUGGGCGUAAAGCGUGCGCAGGCGGUUCGUUAAGACAGAUGUGAAAUCCCCGGGCUUAACCUGGGGACUGCAUUUGUGACUGGCGAGCUAGAGUAUGGCAGAGGGGGGUAGAAUUCCACGUGUAGCAGUGAAAUGCGUAGAGAUGUGGAGGAAUACCGAUGGCGAAGGCAGCCCCCUGGGCCAAUACUGACGCUCAUGCACGAAAGCGUGGGGAGCAAACAGGAUUAGAUACCCCCGUAGUCCCUGUCUCUUAUAC